ACCUGGUUGAUCCUGCCAGUAGUCAUAUGCUUGUCUCAAAGAUUAAGCCAUGCAUGUCUAAGUAUAAGCGACUAUACUGUGAAACUGCGAAUGGCUCAUUAAAUCAGUUAUGGUUUAUCGUACAA
Molecule: ribosomal RNA, 125 nt
Filed under: Emiliania huxleyi
Lineage: Eukaryota; Haptophyta; Isochrysidales; Noelaerhabdaceae
Description: partial Eukaryotic small subunit ribosomal RNA
Rfam family: Eukaryotic small subunit ribosomal RNA
Source: RNAcentral